RNAcentral lists this long non-coding RNA (468 nucleotides) under Sus scrofa (pig). RNAcentral's name for it is "lncRNA (ENSSSCG00070004604.1)". The record is from RNAcentral. Lineage: Eukaryota; Metazoa; Chordata; Mammalia; Artiodactyla; Suidae.
ACUUAAGCCCUGCCUAGGUUCCUAGGAAAUGGGCAGGAAAAGUGCCUGCCACCUGCUGCUUGCUGGUGUGCUGUUUUGGCAGCAGGAGCUGUGGGAACACACAGGGGCAGGAGAACAAACACAUUACACACGAGGACUUCCAUCCUCCAGCCAGCAAGGUGCCGACACCUCACACUUGACACCUGCUGAGCGCCCUACUGUGUGCCCCGCCCCCCUGAACGAGGCAGCCUCGGAGCUUGGAUCCUAGUUGGAGAGACAGGCAAUUAGCAGGAUGGCAGAUCCACAUCCAGGAUCCUGGGAAGCACUUGACAGAGGGGAGGAGCCCAGCAAUAACACUGACCAAAGAGAAGUGAAUCCUUUUGCCCAGUGACUGGAAGACACAAGAAAGUGGUGGGGGGUGGGAGGCAGGGGGGAAGGAGCCUGGCACCUUGCCACGCUUCCCCUGUAAGGAGCACACACCCUCUCCCC